Molecule: ribosomal RNA, 481 nt
Filed under: Globigerinoides ruber ruber
Lineage: Eukaryota; Foraminifera; Rotaliida; Globigerinidae
Description: SSU rRNA
Rfam family: Eukaryotic small subunit ribosomal RNA
Source: RNAcentral
GCACCACAAGCGCGUGGAGCAUGUGGCUUAAUUUGACUCAACGCGGGAAAUCUUACCGGGUCCGGACAUAUCGAGGAUUGACAGACAGUUACCAUGCCCUUUCGAAAGGAGUCAGGUUUUAAACCUAAUGGCUCUUUCAUGAUUAUAUGAUAGGUGGUGCAUGGCCGUUCUUAGUUCGUGGAGUGAUCUGUCUGCUUAAUUGCGUUUCAAAUUUUUAUUUGAGGACCAGGUUUUGGUUUGGGUAGUGGUCCUACGAUGACUGUGAACUGUCAUGUCUUCGGAUGUGCGACUAUCGGUCUAGGAUCGCAUCUCAGCCCCUGGGACUCUUUUGAACGCAACGGACGUGAUUGCAACCCCUUGUUGAGAUUAGAGGAGUCUCGAUAUUCAUUGGCCAAACUUACCGCUUCGAGCUUGCUCGUGCAGUUUUGUUAGCCGGUGGAUAAACUCGGGGGACUGCUGACUAUAACCAUUUCUCAAAACA